AUGUCAUUGCAAUAAAUGCACCAUAAUUCAAAUGUAAUCAACACUCAAUUUUUUUUGCAGAAGAUCAACGACAAUGGAUUUGUUUAGGAUGAAGCAACCAAUAUAUGAACAAUGUGUGGAGGGUGGAUAAGUAAUUUCACCUUUACUUGCAAAAAUCUGAGUUUUAAAAAAGGUUUUUUCUUUCAUUUGCGAAUGAAUCAGCAUGCAACAAGUGUCCAAAAAAUUUUCAAACGUGAUAUGAACAAAAUAAUCGAAGUCUCUUUAGUUUCUUCUCUUGUUUGGCCUUUGUUCUAAGUGAAAAUCCUCUUAAAAUCGAGUGUAAGUUGAGUGUGAUAAUCAGCAAACUAUUGACGACGAUGACUAUUGUUGUUCCGACGAUUUGAAAUGUGAGUGUAGUGUUUGUAACCUAAAAUGAUGACAACGUAAGGGAUUCUAUUCUACUAGUUCUACCCAUGUCAAUAAGGACAACAUAACAGAUUUUGAUGGUGGUCUUUGCAGCAAACAACGAGGAAACGUAUAUAUACUAAGGGGUUGAAGAGUUUUUAUGCAGUUGAGAUAAUGUUGAACGGAGUACCUGCCGAGGUGAAGUUUUUCUGAUAGAAUUAUGGAGCCCAGAAUAGCCACAAUGAUCAUGCAUAAAGGGUUGAAGGCUGUGACGAAAACUGGGCCUUUUGUCCUCAAAACAAGCCCUUGCACAUAUGUUUGGUGGUUAAUUACUGUAUAAAGGGGAGCUAAGAGCCUGGAGUCCCAGCCCACUGCCCAUCCACUGGCGCGCCGCUCUACAGCAAGCGCUAUUGCUGCACUUUGCAAGGUCCCUGAUAAGCAUAUCAAGGAGGAUAAAGAGAAUUCUGCUGGGUACUUUUUUAUGUAUUAUAGAUGGGAAUAAAAACAUCUCCAAAGAGUUAUGAAAUUGAGCGGCAUGUAUGUGAAAUGUGAAGACUUACUUGAAGAACGUAAAAACAGGACCAGGCGACGCAGCCAAGAAGGAUUACAAGAGUCCCAGCGACCCAGUGUUUAUCUGAAGACUCACUGCUGCUGCUUUCAUGGUGGCUUUCUGUGUGCGACCAUGGCAUAUUAAGAACAGGGCCUUUGUAAAGUGUCAUCAAUAAAGCUCCUCCAAGAGUAAGUAGGGUCCCCAAUACCUUAGCUUGACUGUAUAUUUCCUUGAUGUUUAUGAUCUCUAAUCUGGGUUCGUAGUAAUUCAUUGAAAUAUUAGCAAAUCAAGAUUAUCGUAAAAUUAGUAUGUCACUUCCGGGUAUGGAAGGUGACUUCAUUGAAGCACUGAAUCUAGAUUACUUCUCUGAUUGUACAAAUGAAAGUUAUUUGCUGCCUGAUUAUUCUACUGAAUAAAGUGGCUUUAAAAUUUCCACCUUUUCCACAA
Mangifera indica (mango) is the source of this 1381-nucleotide long non-coding RNA. RefSeq lists it as uncharacterized. Lineage: Eukaryota; Viridiplantae; Streptophyta; Magnoliopsida; Sapindales; Anacardiaceae. The transcript is spliced from 4 exons. The record is from RefSeq and is a predicted model, not a curated record.